Molecule: non-coding RNA, 524 nt
Organism: Paramuricea clavata
Lineage: Eukaryota; Metazoa; Cnidaria; Anthozoa; Malacalcyonacea; Plexauridae
Source: the annotation of a GenBank genome assembly
UGUGACGUGAAGCCAGUCACGUCAUAAACAUUCUUAAUUUAAGACAUUGCGUAAUUAUGCUAACUCAUGCUUUACUAUAUUUAUCGUUUACGUGGUAUCUAAAAAUAGUAUGACGUAAUGUUUUAUUAAUACCUAUCGGACAGUAUAUAAGCAGCGAAAGCUUAAGAUAGUGGGAAAUCAAAAGUUUAAGAGAUAAUUGUUGUUGUUAAAGAAGAAGAGUUUGAUAUUGUGAAGUUAUUGUCGUCGUGAAAACUUAAAGGAAAGGAACUAUAUUAUAAAGUGUGAAAGGACAAAGUCUGAAAAGCAAAGCUGUGUCAUUGUCAUUAGACAGAUAAGUUUAAACUAUCCUGAUUCUUCGUUCUUUUAGUUUUCCUUUAUUAAUAAAUAAUAUAAAAAUAUAAGACUUUUCUGUUUUUAAGUCUUUCUUGUUACGGUGAACGUAACACUGUGUACUGUACAAGGUAGUACAAUCUUGCACUGUCGCUGUCGGUCUUCAGCUCGAUGAGUGUUUCGAAAGCGCGGAU